This 1682-nucleotide long non-coding RNA is filed under the name Trifolium pratense (red clover). RNAcentral describes it as "long non-coding RNA (TPRA_LNC004956)". The record is from RNAcentral. Lineage: Eukaryota; Viridiplantae; Streptophyta; Magnoliopsida; Fabales; Fabaceae.
GCAAUCAAAUCAAAUCUUUAAGUUAAAAAGCCAAAAAACCCUACCUCGCCUCCAUUUUUGUGUCCCCUUCCUUCUCCAUAUCCUUUGAUCUACUUCCCAUCACUGCUUAUCUCUCUCUGCUUCUUCUAUUUCAAACAAAUCGAACACUGCAACACACCGCGACGGUCGUUCCGAAGAUGAAUCUUAACUACAUCGCGAGAAGCUCUUCGAAUACCUUGAGAAAUUCAAUAGUUCCAAGAACAAAUCUCAGGUCAUUGUCUCCUCUAUAAUUUCAAUGUCUCUUCGUUUUUUUAUUUAGUGUUUUAGAUGGUGUUGUUGUUCAAGUUUUCUUUCAAUUAGGGUUUUGAACUGUCGUUUUUAGCACUCAGAUCUUUAGGGAUUUGUGUGUGUUGUUGUGAAGAAACACCUGCUUACUUGAUCUUCUACGGUUCUACUUUACACAAGAAAGUUUUUUGCCAACUAAUGAACUCUUUUUGCACAGGUGAUACUCUGAAUGCAUUGAAGAACAACAUGAAUUAUCCUAACAAUGUUCUUUAAUGUUGGCCAAGGAGGUCAAAAUGUUUUGGAGCUUUAUGAUUUUUAUCAUGUAGACCAAGAGAGGCUUUGUGUUUGCUGUCAAGGAGUCCAUUGUUUAGUUGAUUUGGUGCUAAAAGCUUCUUCCAAGACUAUAAGGGUAUUUAUUUAUUUGAUAAUUGGCUAAUCAAAGUCUUGCUUAUCUUUAUGGUAACGAAAAUACUUAAUUCAAGAAUCCAUUGUGACACAAAUGGUGUCAAUGAACUAAAGGGGAAGUGUUAGUCCUCUCCUAUUACAGUAGACAUAGCAUAUGAUCUUUAAAACAUGUUUCGGAAGCUUGAAAGAGUAAUUACUAAGGUUAAAGUAGUUAGAUUUGGAAAUUAGCUUGAAAUUAUUUUAGCCAAAGCAAAGUAAUAGCAUUCCUUGCUUUGCAAAAAUUAUAACAACGUAACUAUAGUUUUAAGUUGGCAUAUAAACAACUGCAUAUUCCUAACUUCGUGUAAUAGUUUACAAUGAUUUGGUUUCAUUGCUAGUAAUUAAUAGGUUAUUAAUAUGAAGGUACUGAAGUUGUGGUAAUUAUAUAUGUAGAUUAUUAUUCAAAUAUCAAUCUGAAUGAAGCUAUUGAUUUGUUAAGGUUUGUGUUUACUAAUCUUUGAUCUCUUGCUCAUGUUGCGUCUAUGAUUAUUUCUAAUACAAGGCAUNNNNNNNNNGUUGGCUCUGUUUUCGCUGCUAUUUCCUUUUUUCCUUUCAUUGUUUUCUGAUAUUUGUACCUGGGACUUUUGUCUGUUUAUUGUCUGUUCGGGUGCUGGUUUUGAGGCUCGUAGCAGUAAGGUUUUUUAUCCUAGCAGGUGCUGUUGGUUUAUGGUAGUAGUAGUCGUUUUGGUUUUUUAAGACUUAUGGUUUUCUUUUGUAGUUUUGUUGGCUUACUGCUAGUGCAAUGUUCAUGUAAUAUUUCGCAGUCCUCUGGUUACACCUUGUGAAUGGAGUUAGGCAUAACUAGUAGUAUAAUUAGUAGUAGGUGUUCUUACUUAAAAUAUGAUAUAUGAUUUAACUAAUGAACAUUACAGUCAUGAGCAAAUCAAUUAUUAGGGAACUUCAAUUGGGUUUGAAAACUGAAAAGUAGUCUAUAAUUUGGUUUUGUGGUAGCAUGCCAUUUUUUAUUGAUUUNN